GAGCUGGGUUUAGAACGUCGUGAGACAGUUCGGUCCCUAUCUGCCGUGGGUGUAGGAGAAUUGAGUGGAGUUGCCCCUAGUACGAGAGGACCGGGGUGAACGGACCACUGGUGGACCUGUUGUGGCGCCAGCCGCAGUGCAGGGUAGCUAUGAUCGGAAAGGAUAACCGCUGAAGGCAUCUAAGCGGGAAGCCCCCCUCAAAACAAGGUAUCCCUGAGAGCCGAGGUAGACCACCUCGUCGAUAGGCCGGAGAUGUAAGCGCAGCAAUGCGUUCAGUUGACCGGUACUAAUGGCUCGAUAGGCUUGAU
Molecule: ribosomal RNA, 308 nt
Filed under: Strombidium inclinatum
Lineage: Eukaryota; Ciliophora; Spirotrichea; Strombidiidae
Description: partial Bacterial large subunit ribosomal RNA
Rfam family: Bacterial large subunit ribosomal RNA
Source: RNAcentral